Molecule: non-coding RNA, 1912 nt
Organism: Manis javanica (Malayan pangolin)
Lineage: Eukaryota; Metazoa; Chordata; Mammalia; Pholidota; Manidae
Source: RefSeq, a predicted model, not a curated record
AAAUGGAGGUGUUUUUAUUGGUAUUCUUGUUUACUAAAAUUUCUGUGACUUCCUCUUUGUCUCAGCUUCCAGUAAACUUUUAAAGGUUAGUGCUACUGUCUUACAUCAUAGCAACGUAUUUGUCUCUUAUGGUUAAAAACUUGCAGGUUUUUCACCUCACAUUUCAGAUGAGAGCAAAAGUGUCAGCCCACCUCAAGGAACCUAGUUGGGAAAAGCUGCAAAGGUGACCAUCCAGAGGACUUGGUCCCCCAUUCUUUGAAACUGUCUCAAGGGCCUGGGACAGCCUGAGACAGCAAGUCCGUGGGCUCGCCCAUUUUGGCCCUAUCUCUGCUUCAUCCGCAUUAACACCCUUGGCUACUAGGAGUAGAUGAGGAAACCGCAGCUGCAAGAGGCCCCCCCACAGUUUGUCAUGGUUGCGUAACCGCCUUUCUUCGUGGUGCCAAAGAGCUGAAUGGACCCUCACAGGCUGAAGCAGCAGAGAGCACCAGCCCCACGGUGCCCCUUCAGGUGUCUUACAGAACUGCGCUGGAUUCCCAGGCUGCUCCGUGUUCCCCGUCAACCUAGCUUCCUCAUUAACACCUCUAUUGCUGGUGUCAGUAGUCUUAAUGGGUAGAAUGUUCUAUUUCCUCCCAUCACCCCCAUCAUUUCUCUACCAUCCUACCCCUAAACCAUUGAUUUGAAGCUGUUAUGAGUUCCUGUAUUUAAAGCAAAUAAGAUAUUUUCCUACAAUAUGAUAUAAGGAUGUUCUUUGAGACUUUCUAUCAACCUGAGAACUGUUUAUGCUUGCAAAGUUUACAGACUUUAGACCUGUAAGAAUGUGUCCUCAGAUGCUAUUAUAAUUUUUAUUUUCAAGAGCAUUGUUGAAGCACCACGUUGACACUGGCAGGUACACAGAGCAGGGAUACUAAUCCUCAUUUUACAACUGAGCCUAAGAAAGGAAGGAAAGUGCUCAAGGGACAGGGCAAACUGGGGCUCAGACUUGGUUUUCUCCAUCCUAUCCAGUCCACUCUGUUGAUGAUGAAAAGCCAGGCUCACUGACCUUGCCACACAGGCACCAGUCAGUCCUGGGCAGAAAGCAAGCAGGACAGCUGAUGCUGUCAUCACAGCUGAGGAAAUGGAGCCUUGGAAGUUAGACUCUCUGCCCACAGGGCUGUGCCACUGAGGAGUCCAUAUCUCAAACCUGCCUCUCCAGACGCCCACUCUUUCCACAGUAUCAGUUGACUUGAUUUCAGCAUUUCCUGUAAAAGCUUCAGGCAGUGCCUUCAUCCUGACAAUAUCAAAUACCUCAUGGUUUAGCAAUGCACUGGAGAAAGUGCUAGUGAGGCAGGGGUGAGGAGAAAGGGAAAGAUGGAAAUGGCUAAGGCCUGCCUCCUCAGCAAGAGUGGGAAGCAACCUUUGUGCUGACAUUCUCUCACGCUUUGUCUGUAAACCCACAACUUCCAGCUUUAUCCCUGGCCUGUGCUCAGGGGGAAGUUGAGGGCAGUUCCAUUUUCCAUUCUAGGUAUUGGUAUAUUUUCUCUGUUAUGCAUGUUUACAUUUAUCAGUUGUUGCAUGUAAAGCUGAGACGUCAUAAUCAACUCAAUUUAGUUUUCCAAAUUAAUCCACCUUGAAUUUGAGGUGUAAUAGCUGAAAGAAGGUAUUAUGAUCAGAAAGUGUCUGGAGUUACCUUCCUGUCCAGUAAAUAAUUAGAACUGUUGGUCAGAGAGCUGGCAGCUUUGGAAUGAAUCUCCCUUACUUAAUUUCUCCUGGAUUCCUGACAUCUGCGCUCUCCCUUCACAUGUUCUGCCUGGCAGUGCUGUCUCUGCAGCACACAGCGUGCCCUCUGCCCCCUGGUAUUUCUCCUCUGCGAUGUUCUCUGCAGCACCCUGGAUCUGCCCAUUUGCUUGAAACAGAGACUGGAAUAAACUUCAAG